GUGUCAGCCGCCGCGGUAAUACGGGGGGAGCAAGCGUUGUUCGGAUUUACUGGGCGUAAAGGGCGCGUAGGCGGCCAGCACAAGUCGGUUGUGAAAUCUCCGGGCUUAACUCGGAAAGGUCAACCGAUACUGUGCGGCUAGAGUGCGGAAGGGGCAACUGGAAUUCUCGGUGUAGCGGUGAAAUGCGUAGAUAUCGAGAGGAACACCUGCGGCGAAGGCGGGUUGCUGGGCCGACACUGACGCUGAUGCGCGAAAGCCAGGGGAGCGAACGGGAUUAGAAACCCCCGUAGUCC
Molecule: ribosomal RNA, 293 nt
Filed under: uncultured bacterium
Lineage: Bacteria
Description: partial 16S ribosomal RNA
Rfam family: Bacterial small subunit ribosomal RNA
Source: RNAcentral